Molecule: ribosomal RNA, 440 nt
Filed under: uncultured bacterium
Lineage: Bacteria
Description: partial 16S ribosomal RNA
Rfam family: Bacterial small subunit ribosomal RNA
Source: RNAcentral
CCUACGGGCGGCAGCAGUGGGGGAUAUUGCACAAUGGGGGGAACCCUGAUGCAGCGACGCCGCGUGAGUGAGGAAGCGUUUCGGCAUGUAAAGCCCUAUCAGCAGGGAAGAAAAUGACGGUACCUGACUAAGAAGCCCCGGCUAACUACGUGCCAGCAGCCGCGGUAAUACGUAGGGGGCAAGCGUUAUCCGGAUUUACUGGGUGUAAAGGGGGCGCAGACGGUAAUUCAAGCCAGAAGUGAAAGCCCAGGGCUCAACCUUGGGACUGCUCUUGGAACUGAAUGGCUAGAGUACAGGAGGGGUAGGCGGAAUUCCUAGUGUAGCGGUGAAAUGCGUAGAUAUUAGGAGGAACACCAGUGGCGAAGGCGGCCUGCUGGACUGUGACUGACGUUGAGGCUCGAAGGCGUGGGGAGCAAACAGGAUUAGAUACCCCAGUAGUC